CUAUUGAGAGUCGCAGAUACCAGGUGGCUGCAACUGUUUAUUAAAAACACAGCACUGUGCAAAAUCGUAAGAUGACGUAUACGGUGUGACGCCUGCCCGGUGCCGGAAGGUUAAUUGAUGGGGUUAGACUUCGGUCGAAGCUCUUGAUCGAAGCCCCGGUAAACGGCGGCCGUAACUAUAACGGUCCUAAGGUAGCGAAAUUCCUUGUCGGGUAAGUUCCGACCUGCACGAAUGGCGUAAUGAUGGCCACGCUGUCUCCACCCGAGACUCAGUGAAAUUGAAAUCGCUGUGAAGAUGCAGUGUACCCGCGGCUAGACGGAAAGACCCCGUGAACCUUUACUACAGCUUGGCACUGAACAUUGACCCUACAUGUGUAGGAUAGGUGGGAGGCUUUGAAGCACGUACGCCAGUAUGUGUGGAGCCGUCCUUGAAAUACCACCCUUGUAGUGUUGAUGUUCUAACGUCGACCCCUUAUCGGGGUUGCGGACAGUGCCUGGUGGGUAGUUUGACUGGGGCGGUCUCCUCCCAAAGAGUAACGGAGGAGCACGAAGGUGGGCUAAUCACGGUUGGACAUCGUGAGGUUAGUGCAAUGGCAUAAGCCCGCUUGACUGCGAGAAUGACAAUUCGAGCAGGUGCGAAAGCAGGUCAUAGUGAUCCGGUGGUUCUGAAUGGAAGGGCCAUCGCUCAACGGAUAAAAGGUACUCCGGGGAUAACAGGCUGAUACCGCCCAAGAGUUCAUAUCGACGGCGGUGUUUGGCACCUCGAUGUCGGCUCAUCACAUCCUGGGGCUGAAGUCGGUCCCAAGGGUAUGGCUGUUCGCCAUUUAAAGUGGUACGCGAGCUGGGUUUAGAACGUCGUGAGACAGUUCGGUCCCUAUCUGCCGUGGGCGUUGGAAGAUUGAAGGGGGCUGCUCCUAGUACGAGAGGACCGGAGUGGACGAACCUCUGGUGUUCGGGUUGUGUCGCCAGACGCAUUGCCCGGUAGCUAAGUUCGGAAUCGAUAACCGCUGAAAGCAUCUAAGCGGGAAGCGAGCCCUGAGAUGAGUCUUCCCUGAUACUUUAAGUAUCCUAAAGGGUUGUCGGAGACUACGACGUUGAUAGGUCAGGUGUGUAAGUGCUGUGAGGCAUUGAGCUAACUGAUACUAAUUGCCCGUGAGGCUUAACCAU
This 1166-nucleotide ribosomal RNA is filed under the name Vibrio parahaemolyticus. RNAcentral describes it as "partial 23S ribosomal RNA". It matches the Rfam family "Bacterial large subunit ribosomal RNA", at positions 1767 to 2925 of the family's 2925-position model. The record is from RNAcentral. Lineage: Bacteria; Pseudomonadati; Pseudomonadota; Gammaproteobacteria; Vibrionales; Vibrionaceae.